Molecule: transfer RNA, 74 nt
Filed under: Stanieria cyanosphaera PCC 7437
Lineage: Bacteria; Bacillati; Cyanobacteriota; Cyanophyceae; Pleurocapsales; Dermocarpellaceae
Also listed under: 8 other names
Description: tRNA-Asp (GTC) (tRNA-Asp-GTC-1-1)
Rfam family: tRNA
About the family: Transfer RNA (tRNA) molecules are approximately 80 nucleotides in length. Their secondary structure includes four short double-helical elements and three loops (D, anti-codon, and T loops).
Source: Rfam by way of RNAcentral
GGGACUGUAGUUCAGUUGGUUAGAAUGCCUGCCUGUCACGCAGGAGGUCGCGGGUUCGAGCCCCGUCAGUCCCG